CCUACGGGCGGCAGCAGUGGGGAAUAUUGGGCAAUGGGCGCAAGCCUGACCCAGCAACGCCGCGUGAAGGAAGAAGGCUUUCGGGUUGUAAACUUCUUUUGUCAGGGAAGAGUAGAAGACGGUACCUGACGAAUAAGCCACGGCUAACUACGUGGCAGCAGCCGCGGUAAUACGGAGGUGGCAGGCGUUGUCCGGAUUUAGUGGGUGUAAAGGGCGUGUAGCCGGGUUGAAAAGUCAGAUGGGAAAUCCUGCGGCUUAACCGAAGAACUGCAUUUGAAACUGUUGAUCUUGAGUACGGGAGAGGCAUAUGGAAUGCCUGGUGUAGCGGUGAAAUGCGUAGAUAGUAGGAGGAACACCAGUGGCGAAGGCGGUCUGCUGGACAGCAACUGACGGUGAGGCGCGAAAGCGUGGGGAGCAAACAGGAUUAGAUACCCGGGUAGUC
This 442-nucleotide ribosomal RNA is filed under the name uncultured bacterium. Its description in RNAcentral is "partial 16S ribosomal RNA". It matches the Rfam family "Bacterial small subunit ribosomal RNA", at positions 338 to 795 of the family's 1533-position model. The record is from RNAcentral.